GCCUGGCUGGCUCAGUUGGUAGAGCCUGCGACUCUUGAUCUUGAAGUCGUGAGUUCAAGCCCCAUGCUGGGUU
This 73-nucleotide transfer RNA is filed under the name Canis lupus familiaris (dog). It matches the Rfam family "tRNA". Rfam says of the family: Transfer RNA (tRNA) molecules are approximately 80 nucleotides in length. Their secondary structure includes four short double-helical elements and three loops (D, anti-codon, and T loops). The record is from Rfam by way of RNAcentral. RNAcentral also lists the same sequence under 1 other name. Lineage: Eukaryota; Metazoa; Chordata; Mammalia; Carnivora; Canidae.